This 405-nucleotide ribosomal RNA is filed under the name uncultured prokaryote. Its description in RNAcentral is "bacterial SSU rRNA". It matches the Rfam family "Bacterial small subunit ribosomal RNA", at positions 355 to 774 of the family's 1533-position model. The record is from RNAcentral.
UGGGGGAUAUUGCACAAUGGGGGAAACCCUGACGCAGCAACGCCGCGUGAAGGAUGAAGGUUUUCGGAUCGUAAACUUCUUUGAUGGGGGACGAAAAAAAUGACGGUACCCCAAAAACAAGCCACGGCUAACUACGUGCCAGCAGCCGCGGUAAUACGUAGGUGGCGAGCGUUGUCCGGAAUUACUGGGCGUAAAGGGCGCGUAGGCGGGAACUCAAGUCUGGUGUGAAAACUAUGGGCUUAACCCAUAGAUUGCAGUUGAAACUGUUUUUCUUGAGUGGAGUAGAGGUAGGCGGAAUUCCGAGUGUAGCGGUGAAAUGCGUAGAUAUUCGGAGGAACACCAGUGGCGAAGGCGGCCUACUGGGCUCUAACUGACGCUGAGGCUCGAAAGUGUGGGGAGCAAACA